This 504-nucleotide ribosomal RNA is filed under the name uncultured bacterium. RNAcentral's name for it is "partial 16S ribosomal RNA". It matches the Rfam family "Bacterial small subunit ribosomal RNA", at positions 29 to 523 of the family's 1533-position model. The record is from RNAcentral.
AUUGAACGCUGGCGGCAGGCCUAACACAUGCAAGUCGAGCGGUAGCACAGAGAGCUUGCUCUCGGGUGACGAGCGGCGGACGGGUGAGUAAUGUCUGGGAAACUGCCCGAUGGAGGGGGGUAACUACUGGAAACGGUAGCUAAUACCGCAUAACUUCGCAAGACCAAAGAGGGGGACCGUCGGGCCUCUCGACAUCGGAGGUGCCCAGAUGGGAUUAGCUAGUAGGUGGGGUAACGGCUCACCUAGGCGACGAUCCCUAGCUGGUCUGAGAGGAUGACCAGCCACACUGGAACUGAGACACGGUCCAGACUCCUACGGGAGGCAGCAGUGGGGAAUAUUGCACAAUGGGCGCAAACCUGAUGCAGCCAUGCCGCGUGUGUGAAGAAGGCCUUCGGGUUGUAAAGUACUUUCAGCGGGGAGGAAGGUGUUGAGGUUAAUAACCUCAGCAAUUGACGUUACCCGCAGAAGAAGCACCGGCUAACUCCGUGCCAGCCGCCGCAGUAA